UUUUGUUUUUAUUCCUCCUGUAUAGACACUCCUGUCCUAAAGCCAGUAUCUCUCUUGAGAAAAUGUGAUGUGAAGGAUUCUCAACUUGAGCCAGAUACAUCCACACCUAUGAAAAAGAAGAAGGGAUGGCCCAAAGGCAAAAGCCGCAAACCAAUCCACUGGAAGAAAAGACCUGGUCGCAAACCAGGAUUUAAGUUGAAUCGGGAAAUCAUACCCGUUUCUACUCAAGAAUGCGUUGUUGAGCCCAUUGUCCCCAUUCCUAAAGUGGGACGUAAAGCCAAACUUCAGGAGAACGAAGAAACUGUUGAACCAAAAGAAGACUUGCCUUUAACUGAAGAAAGGAAGGAAGAGGAGGAGAUGCACGUGGAAGCAGAAGAGGUUGAAGAGGGAGAAGAAGAAGACACAACCAGCAGUGAAGUUAGAGCAGCAUCUCCAGUGGAUAGCAACAGUCCCGAGACAGAAACGAAAGAACCCGAGAUAGAAGAGGAGGAGGAGAAGCCCCGUGUCUUAGAAGAGCAGAGGCAAUCAGAAGAGGAGCAACAAGAACUAGAAGAACAGGAGCAAGAGGAAGAGGAUGAAGUGGCUAUAGAGACAAACCAGAAUGAAGACCAUGAUGCAGAUGAUGAAGAUGAUGGUCAUCUGGAAUCUACCAAGAAAAAAGAGCUAGAGGAGCAGCUCGUUGGAGAAGAUGUCAAGGAGGAGCCCGGUGGUCAGGAGUCUUUUUUAGAUACUAAUAUGCAGAGCAGUAGGGAGAAUAUAAAGGAUAAAGAGGAAAUGGAACCAGAUUCUGAAGAGGAACAGACUUCGCAUGAAACGUCCAUGGUAUCAGAGCAUAUGCCGGGGUCUGAGGAUGAUCAUGAAGAAGAUUCAAACUCUAAGGAAGAAUUAAUUGAGCUGAAAGAGGAAGAAGAGAUUCCUCAUAGUGAACUGGAUCUGGAAACCGUGCAAGCAGUGCAGUCUUUGACUCAAGAGGAAAGUAACGAGCACGAGGGAGCCUACCAGGACUGUGAAGAAACUCUGGCAGCGUGUCAGACCCUGCAGAGUUACACCCAGGCUGAUGAAGACCCUCAGAUGUCAAUGGUUGAAGACUGCCAUGCUUCGGAACAUAAUAGUCCAAUAUCUUCUGUCCAGUCUCAUCCCAGCCAGUCGGUCCGUUCAGUCAGUAGUCCCACCGUGCCUGCCCUCGAAAGUGGUUACACCCAGAUCAGCCCGGAGCAAGGAUCCCUGUCCGCACCCUCUAUGCAGAACAUGGAGACCAGCCCCAUGAUGGAUGUGCCUUCCGUAUCAGACCACUCUCAGCAGGUGGUGGACAGUGGCUUCAGUGACCUGGGCAGCAUCGAGAGCACCACAGAGAACUACGAGAACCCCAGCAGUUACGAUUCUACAAUGGGCGGCAGCAUCUGUGGGAACAGCUCUUCGCAGAGCAGCUGCUCCUACGGCGGCCUGUCAUCCUCCAGCAGCCUCACCCAGAACAGCUGUGUUGUCACUCAGCAAAUGGCCGGCAUGGGCAACAGCUGCAGCAUGCUGCCGCAAAACGGCGUGCAGCCCGCCGCGGCCAACUGCAGCAUCAAGUCACCUCAGAGUUGUGUGGUGGAGAGGCCUCCGAGUAACCAGCAGCAGCCGCCGCCGUUUUUCCUGCUCAGUGGGCCAGCUGGAGUGUGGGUGCCCAGUGCCACCGAGAUACCCUCCACCGGGGCCGUGCCUGAG
Molecule: non-coding RNA, 1707 nt
Organism: Leptonychotes weddellii (Weddell seal)
Lineage: Eukaryota; Metazoa; Chordata; Mammalia; Carnivora; Phocidae
Source: RefSeq, a predicted model, not a curated record